This is a long non-coding RNA of Prunus dulcis (almond), 4084 nucleotides long. RefSeq lists it as uncharacterized. The transcript has 6 exons. NCBI's taxonomy places the organism in Eukaryota, Viridiplantae, Streptophyta, Magnoliopsida, Rosales, Rosaceae. The record is from RefSeq and is a predicted model, not a curated record.
GACGAAACUGCCCUUGACUAAACAGCAUCUUUUGUUCCCGUUUUUGCCCCUCCUCCUUCGUUGAGAGGAUUUCGUCCGCUGAGACAAAACCCUGUCUUCGGUUCGUUUCCAACCAGCUGGUUGGGGGGCAGCCAUGGAAGAACAGUGUUCGUUGCUGGACAUGCGUUGGAGGCCGUCGAUUUUUGUUUGGGAAGUGAGCUGCAAAUCCAGCCGCGCUUUCAGUCUUCGUGUCACAGAUUUAGGAUCGGGAGAUUUCAUCUUUUCUACAGCCUUCGACUGGCUUCCAUCUUUCUUGCUUGCGAAUAUUUGCAUCCUUUGUCUUCAGGCUGGACCAGCAGAUAUUUUCACCCACAUAUUGGUCUUCACCUCUAUAUUCUACACAGUCAAACAGCUGUUGAAAGGUUUGCUCAUGAGGACAAGGGUGAUUUUGCAACUUCACUAAAGCAUUUUAGAGUCAAAACCUCUACAGAGGAGUAGAAAGAAUGUAAGCCACCUGUACAGCAGAGCUAGCAAGACCUAGAUCCCCUUCCACCACCCAGUACCAUAUAUAUAAACACCUGCCCAAACUCUUUUGAACAAUGAGCAACUAAAGGUUGCCCAUAUUUUGAUGUUUUUAUAACUGCUUGAUCUAUUAAAAUAUGCCCAAUAUUUUCACAUAACAAGUAGCACAUAAAACAUGUUAUUAGUUUAUUUUUUGUAACUUAACCUUGCUAAACUAAGCAUGAUACCACUAUUUACAUCACCAUGUUUAUAUAAAUAUUACCAUUUUCCCUGCAUAUUUUUACUACUUUAUACGUAUUUCACACGAUUUCAAAACCCGCAGCAUCGCGCGGGCACCAUUCCUCGUUCAACUACUAUAUCCCACUUGACUUGUCUUGCCUCCCCUGUUUUCGCAUUAGGUGGCUAAGGCUUUAACUUAUUUUUAAAAAUAAAUAUAAAAUAUAAAUGUUGGGCUGUAUCUUGUUGACUGUUUGACUCAAUAAUGCGUUAUACGCUGUGGUCGCACAAUUAAAAUUUAUAUAGUAACUUUCCUUAAUAUUGUCAGUCCAUAAAGAUUUCCAACAUCAAAUAAAAAUACACGAUCCAUCCAGCUCACGUGGGAAAACUGUUAUUGAUUCUAUUAGUAUAAUUUGUUUUGGCAGUGUCUCUCUGGGAUUUUGUUGCUUGCUGGGUUUAUUUUCAAUGUUGAUUCAUUAGAACUGAGGUAUUGUAGGAUUAUCUCAGCCUUUGAUUGUUGCUUUUGAUUGGACUGGUUGAUGAUUUUGCUGUAUUCAAUUAGGAUUGUAUACGAUUUUGAAAGAUUUUUUUUAAGUGACAGAUUUCCUGGAAUUGUAUAACUCCUAUAGGUUUUACCCAGAUCUUUUAAUAAACUUGUAUAGACUUUUAUUAUAGACUUCCAUACUUUGGUAUGAACUUUUGUUAUAGAUUCAGAUAUAUUUGCAUAGACUUCCCAAUACCAUUUUCUUUUAUCACACUUUCUUCCCAACACUAUUUUCUUUAAACUAUCUUGACCUAGUCACUAGUUGACCAUCCCUUUCUUUUUUUUUUCCUCCAAAUUCUUCCUCUACUUGUGUGCACAACAAUGAAUUUUCCUUUGAAAUUUUCAUGAGUUGGAAAUUUCCCUUUGAUUUUGUUCACGAACGGCAAACUCUUCGUCCAAAAAUUCAAUUAAACCUAAACAAUGAAUUUCCCUUUGAAAUUUCCACGAGUUGGAAAUUUCCCUUUGAUUUUGUUCACGAACAGCAAACUCUUUGUCCAAAAAUUCAAAAAUUCUUUUUUUUAAAAAAAAAACAAACCUUUGUCCAAAAAGCAAGGGCCCUAUCAUUUGGUAGUGUUAUGGGUGAUGGAAAUAUAUCUCAACCUUCCGCCGCCUUGACGUUGGCUUCACGCCGAGAUGAUCUCCAAGGGAACUUAUCGGAGAUCGAGAAAUCUCUAGCCGAGCUUUACUCCCAGCAACUCCAACUGGUUGAUUUGAAGAAAUCACUAAUGGAGGAGCUUUGCUUAAUACAGGACGCUUGUAACCACCCAAGGUCCGUGCAUGGCUUAGUGCAUUAAUUGUUUGCCAAACGAUGGAAACAUUUCUAACACAGAGAGAAAAAAAAAAAAAAAAAACCACAUCGUAUGAAAUCUUUGGGGUGGAGGUUGGACUUAUGUCGGCCUUUAUUAUUUAUACCUAAAUCCUACAAAUUCUCCAAACUCCAACAUUUAAUUAAAUCCUUCCAAAUCUAUCUCCUUUUGAAUACAGGUAAAUUUAUUUGGACUUUUUCCAAGUCCUAAUUGAAUACAUCCACAUUUAGAUGGACAUUUUAAAAGUUCAAAGAAGUCUAGAUUGAAUACACCCAAACUGUUAUAGACUUUUUAAACGUUUGUAUAAAUCCAAAUUGAAUACACCCAGAUUUUUAAAAUCUUUUUAAACGCUCUAGAAUCCUAAUAAAAUACACCCUUGGAUUGUUUGGAGGAUUUUUGUUUUAUUUUACCUUAAGCAAUAAUGAUGUUCCUAUUUAUGGAUCCCUUAGUAGGAAUGUAGUUUGUGAUUAAAAACUUUUGGGCUCCAAACAAGGAAUUGGUUUUUAACACCUGAGCUUGAUCAACAAGAAGAAAAUAUUUUACCGCUGAAAUUUUUUGGAUGGCUAGAUUUUAGUUCAGGGCUCUUUGGAUGAUGGUUUUAGAUAGGAAAAAUUGUAGGAUUCACUGGUGCUGAGAUAUAAUCACGUGGCACAGGCCUGCGUGCUCUUCUCCGCUUUUGACAGGAUUGUAUGUCUGCCUGAAUAGAGGAGAUGUAUAUUCAAACACUAAGCAGGUUUGGUAUUGCCUUUACUUCAUUCUCAUACUAUUUUCUAGCUAAUCGCUUAUGAUUUCCUUUUUCUUCUUCUCUGUCUUUCUAUCUUUCUGUCUCUCUCCCUCUCUACAUCUCUCAUGAAAUCUUUGCAGCGAUCCACAGAAGCAGCAGGACGUUCUAUAGUCUCAAUUGUUGUGGACCACACAUUUCUCUGCAUUAAAGAUACUGAGUUCCAGCUCGAACUUUUGAUGCAAUCAUUCUUAUUCUCACGGCUAUUUGAUCUGGUCUGCUGGCUAUGAAUAUGAAUGAACAUGUAUGAGAUAGAGAAAGAGAGAGCAGCCUGAUGAUGUUGAUGAGAGCUAGAGAGAGAAAAACAGAGGAGAAUAGUAGGUUGCUAGAAGAGAACUAGGGCUUCCCAAACUCCUCGGAUCUGCGCCGUGGAGUUUGAAAGUGGAUGAGUGUUAAAAAGAGGCUCUACACAUUUGGAUGCGGAUUAGGGCUACAGGUACUGAUCAUGGAACGCUUUCUAUCUUUUUCGUUUUGAUUCAUUAGAACUGAGGUAUUGUACCAUACAUGGGUUUAGCUUGCAGAGUUUUCGUAGAGGUAAAGAAAGCAUCUGCAUUAGAAGGUUCUGAUUUCAUAUAUACACUUUUGUUGUCGUUGUUUUCUUAAUUGUUUUUAUUCUGGGCCCUUCACUGGUCUCUCUCCCCUCAAUCCUCUUCUCUCGCUUGGCCUCUCGAAUAUCACUCUUUUCUCCAUCACUUCAUUUCCUUUUGGUGUUACAUUUUCUGAUUUCUGUGAAUUUGAGGGGUAUAAAUGGAGGGGGAGGGAAUUGGGUUUGGUUGUGAGAGUGAAAUUAUGCAUCUUUGUAUGUUAUUUCAGUCCAAGUUUGUACCUUUGUAUAUCUGUGUGUGUUAUGUUUUCAUAAAUGGGAAGGCAGCUGUGAUUGGGUUCCUAUUGUUGUUAGAUUUUGAACUCUUGACUGUUAAAGGCUGGUCACGCAUUUCUACUGAUGUUAUCCGUUUAGAUGGAUAUAUGUAGGAGUGUUUAUUUCAUCCUAUUUAAAGGUCACUACUUUAACGUAGGAGAUUGGUGAAUGGAAAUACUAAUCAGAAUCGCAAUAAGUUUAUCUAUUAUGCUGAGUCAAUGAUAAUGGGGUGACAUAAUAUUGUGUGUCAUAUAUGUUUUUACAACUUUUUACAUAUUUUAUACAGUUUCAAUACUCGCAUCAUUACGCGGGCACCUUUGCUAGUAUUGCUUAUAACCUGUUAUGAAAUAUAAACAAUUUGACUGAAUAUACAAUUU